CCGGGGCCUUCCUAGUCACGGGUGGCCGGUGGCCCCCGCCGUUCGGCGAUCCUCUGCCGUGGGCUGCGAGGAGGCCUCAGCGGGCGACCGGGGUCUGCCGCCUCAGCCGCCCCCCGGCCUGGCCCCGCCAACGUGUGGCUGCUGGCCGAGCCGCUGGCUGCGGGCUUGGUCCGUGUGUGAAUCUCUGCCCCUCCUUCCACCCCGGCCUCAGCGGCGCGCUGCUGAGUUUGCUCCUGUGCUAGCGCAGGUGCUGCGGUGGGGAGGACUCUGGCUGAAAAACAGGCGGGCAGUUAAACGAAAACGAGCGAAAAAUAAUCCUGGGUAAUUUUCCCGAAACAAUUCACAUAAUAGCACGAAUUACUGUGUUGGCACCGUGUGAAGGGUGGAGGGAGAGCAAAAAGCGUGGAAAAAAUCUCUGCCGUUUAAAUGCAUGCGACACAUGUGCAGCGAUGUUUUUCAACAGUGCGUUUGUGUGGGAAGUCUCAGAAACACGUGUGUGCCCAUGCAGCUGCUGGUGCUGCUCUGGUAACGCGGCUUGGCACUGGUCUUUGCUCAGCUUUUGUUUGCAUUAGGUCAGCUUUGGUUUAGCACCACACUGAAAUAAUCAUAUGAAAUAAUAGUUUUGGUACUCCUGUUUCAAAGAACGUGUUACCGAGCUGUAGACCACAGAGGAGAGAACUCUAUCUGCAAAAUCCAGUAUAUGCCAUGGGAAUUUAAAUUGGCUAUUUCUUUUUCUGGAAGAUAUCCAUAGUUGAUCUAACUAUGUUUUCAAUACCUUUCAGUGUAAUAACAGAAUCUUAGAGGAUUAAUUUAUCUAGAAAAGACAGGAACAAGAGAAUCUAGUGGUUAAUGACAGGUUAAUAACUAACCAUAAUGAUCAAAAGUGACUGAUUAACAGUUGAUAUAAACAGCUUCAAAUAGUAUGGAUUCUGUUCUUCUAGAGGUCUUCCGAUUAAAUCUUUGUGAUUUUACAGGAGUGCUUUAAAUCAAAAUAAAUUACUGAGUUUUGUAAGAGUAAAUGUAUAACUGGCCAGUUAUUUAUAUGUUAAGAAGGUCAUUGUAGAAGUAGUGGCACACAAAUGCAUCAACUAACAGGAAACUUCAAGGUGGGAGAAGUACUUUCAAGGGAGAUGUUUAAAUCAAGAUUUAUAUCUUUUUAAAGCUUUAAAGUUUUGUGUAUAUGUUAUGUUAUAAAAAUACACACACAAAAACUUCAAGAUGGGAGAAGUACUUACAGGGGAGAUGUUUGAAUUAAGAUUUAUAUCCUUUCAAAGCUUUAAAGUUUUGUGUAUAUGUUACGUUAUAAAAAUACUCGCACUGUAGGGGAAGAAAAAACUUUGAUUUUAUUUUAUAAUAAUGUUUGAAUGGGAGUAUCUACCAUCAGAGUGUGUUUCUGGUAUGUCAGAAUACAAACGAUAGAUCUAUUUUAGCUUCAUCAUGGACUUUCUUCUUCCCAGCUCCCAAAGUCAAUAACUUGGAAGGUUGUUCGUGUUCUGCACUGUGAAAGCUGAGUCCCGAGAGUGUUUAAAGGAAAAUACUUGCAGUCAACAUGGAAGGCAUCUUCCUGUGGACUUGCUUUGGAAGAGGAGAGAAUUGUCUGUAGGUUAUAUUUAUGAUGGUCAAAGGAAUGGAAGACAUCAAACAGCAAUUUGUUGAGCACAGAAAUUGAAGUGCCAGGGAUUGUCUGUUACAUCUCAUUCCCUUUGCCCUUCUGAAAGAAACCAUGUGUAUGAAGAAUAAAAAAAAGAGCUUAUGAUGUAAUCAAGCCUCCAGCUUUUGUGGAUAUUAGUUUUUAAUAACAUGGGCACAACAGUGUUAUGCAUAAAGAAUAAAAGGACAAAAUAAACUUUAAAAAAGUUGUUAUCAUCGAACUUAAGCUUUUAUCGCAAAAGGACAAUCAGAAUAUUUUUAAAUGUUCAAGAUACUAAACUGAAGGGGGAAUUAAUUAGGCAGGAAUGAUUUCAUCUUAAUACAACCAGUAUUAUGAAAAAUCAAAUGGAGAAGUAACCUGAAUUCUUUAAUUAAAUUGCAUAUAGAUUGAAGCCAUGCAGACAGUAGUAGCACUAGACUGAUAAAGAGUAAUUAAAGACUAUGUGGGUUCAGGAGUUUCCUUUUUUGCACCAGAAUUUGUUGGUGCAUCACUAAGGUUGUGUAUAAACACAAUUGUGUAUGAUUUUUUGUAGUUUUCUUUAUUGUUUGCAUGCCUUGUCUCUUUCCUGGGAAGUUACAAAGAGGCUAAAUAGCCUCCGCUUCUCAUACGGCUGCUUUUCCACUUUUCCUUCUCUAGUUUGAUUAGUCAUUUUACUAUAAUGUUGUUUAGUCCCUCUGGCAUGAUCAUGUCACAGAAUCACAGAAUGGCCAGGGUAGGAAAGGACCUAUAAAGAUCAUCUAGUCCAACCCCCUGCUAAAGGAGAUUCACCUGUAUUAGGUUGCACAGAAUCGCAUGGAGGCGUGUUUUGGAUAUCUCCAGCGAAGGAGACUCCACGAACAUCUCUGGGCAGCCUGUUCCAGUGCUCUGUCAUCCUCAAGGCAAAAAAGUUCUUCCUCAUACCCAGAAGGAACUUUUUGUGUUGCAGUUUGUGCCUGUUCUGUUGUCCCUUAUCCCGUGGCUGGGCGCUACUGAAAAGAACCUGGCGCCAUCCUCUUGACACUCCUAAGGUAUUUGUAGAUGUUGGUAAGAUCCCCUCUCAGUCUUCUCUUCUCCAGGCUAAAUAACCCUGGAUCCUGUUUGAUCACAGUUCCGAAGAUAUUCAUCCUGCACCUCCUCCUGUCACCUUGGGAUCCUCAUGUCUGUACUGAGGACAGAAGAUGAUCAAACCCUAAACAAAAAAACAUGAUCUUGAGGUUUGUGUUCACCACAUGUUCCCACAGCUGUUUGCUAGCUACAUCUCUCUGUUCCGUUGCCCAUGCUGACAUUUGGAACACUGUAAAUCUGGAACCAUGUCCUGACUCCUGCUGUGGUUUUUCUGUUGCCACAAGACACCAGCUAUAUUGAUUCAGACCACGUUUCUCUAGUCCAGUCUCUUGUCUAUGACAAUGAUCAAUAACAAAUUCUGGGGAAGAAAUUAGGGGAAAGCAUAUACCAAGACCUGUUGGCAUACACUAAAAUGCCCUGCAGAGCAUUCUCCCAGCCAUCACUGAUUGUGGUGAAGGACUUUCUGCAUCCACAUAAACUAGUACAAUUAACUUUUCUUUCCAUGAGCACAUGCUGACAGUCUUGAAUCUGUAUAAAUGUUUAAAAAGGACAGUGGCUUGUGGUUCCAUAGCUUAACCUGGCUUUAUAUGAACAAAUUACAUUACCCUUCAUUAUGUGAAGAAGUACAUUGUUUUGUGUAUUUUAAAGGUGCAUUCUCUGCUCGUCGCUUUCAGCACUCCAGUAGUUCUGUUAUUUUUAAACAAGAACAUUAGGCAUCUGACUUGCAGGUUGAACUGUUUCAAGUGCUAUCUUGCUUCCAAUAGCUGUAUUUUAUAUGUACAUUUACUGUCCAUCUUUAUUCUCUCUCAUUCCUUGUUUUGGGCUUGGGGAUUAUUUCACUGGAGAGGAACUCUGGUUCCUAUGAUAUACUCUGCUCCUUUUAUUAUCUGCAUGACAAAUGCUAGGGUGUGAGGGUGCUGCACAAGUACUGUAAAAAAAACAACAAACGUCCCCCACUUUACGUAGCUGUAGAACAAACACUUGGCAGUGCUAAUGUGGCUGCACACAAUAUACUGAAGAGCUGCGGUUACUGCUUAAGUAGCCUCUCUAUAUUUUAAAGAGGCAUGGCACCUGUGUUCAAAUACUGAUGACGGUAUGUGAUGCUGUCUGGAAAAUUACAGAUACACUGUGUGCAGGAAAAUACUGUAACUGGGUGCAUUAUUUCCUGUACUGAAAAGUGGAUUAUUAGUAUGUAGAUUCAACUUGAAUAAAUCUCAGUAGAUUACUGGGCAAGAUUAAGGCAAGAGAGCUGCAGAGCAGUUCUGACGCUGUGAAGAACAAACAGGGCAAAAUGCUUCCGGUAUGAGGAACAAGUGUAGUGUUAUAGCUGCCUAAUGUUUUUAUUUUUUUCCAUACUGGUAACCAAGUAAGGAAGAAGAUAAUUUAACUUAUUGCACGGAACUGUAACUCACAUGUUGUACCUAAGACACUAUGAUUCCAUUUUGUUUGGUUACAGCACUUCUGCAUUCAAGCCAAGGUCUGAAGAAUUUUUCAGCUUCAGAUGAGAAUUCAGUGUCUCCAGUGUGAUGUGUUCGCCAGGAAUCGCUAUCCACUACAGUGGAUAGUAGCAUGUAAUAUUGAAUAAUGUUUGAAAUAUUGAUGCUGUUUCGUUUAAUUUCUAAUAAUACUUAGAGACUUACUAAAGCAGCGGGUUUUUUUGUUUGUUGGUUGGUUGUUUUUUUAAAGUGUAUAGAACUACUUUCAUUGAAAGUUCUUGAAAAGAUUCUGUGGCUUUAGGGUAGACAGUGUUUCUUAACCAUUUCCAGAGUAAAGGAAUGCUAAAGAAAAGCAUCAAAACAGUAAAAGAUGAGUGUCAGUGAUAGAAAUAAAGAACCAAACUGCUUGACAAAAUGGAAGUUCACAUAAGCAAGAUAAAAGGAAUUAGAAAGCUCAUUAGAACCUGUCUGAAUAAUCACUACAUACAUAUCUUAAGGACACAAUGAAAUUACAGGGGAAUUAAGAGACUGGCAUGUAGAUAUGGCUUUAAGCAAGUGUGUAAAACAAAGGAAUGGGGAAUUAAGGAAAUUUUUAUUUUAGACAUCACUGUCGUGCCUCUGAGUUGAUUACCUAUUUUUUAGCAUCUCAUUCUUCGUAACAGUUUGUUUUUAUUACCAAUUUCUUUCCUUUAAUACUCGUAUGGUAAUUUUUUUCCAUCAGAAGGGUGAAAAUUCUGGGAUGCAGGCUGUGAUCCCUUAGUGGGUUGCUAGGAGUAGUUGGGAAAGGCAGUAGGCAAGGGGUAAAAAAUGUUGGAAGAUUGGAGGCUGCAACUGGAUAAAGAUAGCUAACCAAGAAGAGGGUUCCACUGGGGAUGGAACAGACCUUUUUGGUGAACCAUCUUCUUGGUGACACAAUUGACCUCUUCAAGGUGACACAAAUUGCCUUAGCUCUAUGGCUUGAACAGAGCCUUGAAAUUCUGACUCACUAUAUCUCUCUUAGGAAAUUUUUUGUAAAACAUACUGGUAAAGGAUGUUUUCAGUCAAUCCUAAUCAUUACUCACAUAUAUAAAUCCCUCUAUAUCGUAACACAGAACUUAAAUUAUGUGAAUGUUUUUCUUGUAGUCAGUCUUUUAUGCACAGAAUGGUUGUGUACUUGGUGUAAAUGAAUGAAAGUUCUCUCCAGCUGGUUGUUAGAAGAAAAAUGGCAACUAAGUAGUAAGUAAAGUUCAGAUGGUUCAUUUUUGUUGUGCACAGUUGAAUUCAAUCUCUGGCAAAGUGUUUCUGCAAGAUACAAAUCAAGUUAAUAAACCCAAACUUUCCAGACAGUUACAAAACCUCACUGAAUUUGAAGUAGCAUUACUCUAGGUAUACACUCAGGUAAACCUGUCUUCAGUGUCACUCGAGGUGAUACACCACGUCACUGUUUCUCUUUCUUCUCACUGGUCAUUUGUGACUACUCGUAAAGUUCAUUCUGUCCUUUCUCUUAUUUUACCUCUCAUCAUACUCUUACUUCUUUUUUAUAAUACCACAUAUAGGUGCUCAGACUGCACUGUUCAAAACAGGUAUUUCAACUGCAGUUCUAAGAGUGGGUACUUACAUUAAAUGUUUUCUUAUACAAGUACUAUGAAGUUGGUGGUAGAAUUUCUUCUUUUUUAAAAUUCUAUUUAGUAGAGGAUUUGAACAUUUAAUAUAACCUUGAAUAGAAAUCUUGCUGCUCAUAGCAAUUUAGUAAAUUCUUUUUUUGUUUCCAUUUUAAAAAUUAAAAUUGUCAUGUUUUCUGUGACAAGAAUU
Falco peregrinus (peregrine falcon) is the source of this 5922-nucleotide long non-coding RNA. RefSeq lists it as uncharacterized. The transcript has 3 exons. Lineage: Eukaryota; Metazoa; Chordata; Aves; Falconiformes; Falconidae. The record is from RefSeq and is a predicted model, not a curated record.